GACGAACGCUGGCGGCGUGCUUAACACAUGCAAGUCGAACGAAGUGGCGAACGGGUGAGUAACGCGUAAUCAACCUGCCCUUCAGAGGGGGACAACAGUUGGAAACGACUGCUACUACCGCAUACUGAAGGAGGGGAUUGCGUCUGAUUAGGUAGUUGGAGGGGUAACGGCCCAACACGGGGAUGAUUAGUAGCGGGUCUUGGAGAAGGAACGGCCACAAUUGGACUGAGAAACGGCCCAGAAUCCUACGGGAGGCAGCAGGGGGGAAUCUGCCGCAAUGGACGAAAGUCUGACGGAGCAACGCCGCGGGAGUGAUGACGGCCUUCGGGUUGUAAAGCUCUGUUAAGCGGGACGCGGUACCGGAAUAGAAAGCCACGGCUAACUACGUGCCAGCAGCCGCGGUAAUUC
Molecule: ribosomal RNA, 408 nt
Filed under: uncultured bacterium
Lineage: Bacteria
Description: partial 16S ribosomal RNA
Rfam family: Bacterial small subunit ribosomal RNA
Source: RNAcentral